AGUGAACGCUGGCGGUAGGCCUAACACAUGCAAGUCGAACGGCAGCACAGUAAGAGCUUGCUCUUACGGGUGGCGCGUGGCGGACGGGUGAGGAAUACAUCGGAAUCUACUUUUUCGUGUGGGCUAACGUAGGGAAACUUACGCUAAUACCGCAUACGACCUACGGGUGAAAGCAGGGGAUCUUCUGACCUUGCGCGAUUGAAUGAGCCGAUGUCGGAUUAGCUAGUUGGCGGGGUAAAGGCCCACCAAGGCGACGAUCCGUAGCUGGUCUGAGCGGAAGAACAGCCACACUGGAUCUGAGACACGGUACCGACUCCUACGGGAGGCAGCAGCGGGAAAUAUUGGGCGAGGGGCGAGAGCCUAAUCCUGCCAAACCGGGUGGGGGAAGAAGGAGUUCGGGUUGUAGAGCCAUGUUGUUGGGAGGGAAAAGAAAUAGUUUAAUACCCGGCUGUUCUGACGGUACCCAAAGAAGAAGCACCGGCUAACUUCGUG
RNAcentral lists this ribosomal RNA (492 nucleotides) under uncultured bacterium. RNAcentral's name for it is "partial 16S ribosomal RNA". It matches the Rfam family "Bacterial small subunit ribosomal RNA", at positions 29 to 507 of the family's 1533-position model. The record is from RNAcentral.